RNAcentral lists this long non-coding RNA (3366 nucleotides) under Paramuricea clavata. The record is from RNAcentral. Lineage: Eukaryota; Metazoa; Cnidaria; Anthozoa; Malacalcyonacea; Plexauridae.
UUUUAGUGAGAAAUAUAAUUUUAUUAUUGAGAUAGAAUUUCAAGUAAUUGACACAAAAGUCAAAGUUCAAAGCAAAAUUUAAGAAAAUUGGUUUAGUAACAAAAAAAAAAUUUGUAGGCAAUUGUAAUUAACACAAAAAGUCAAAGUAAAAGAAUUGGUUUGGAAGAGAAAAAAUAAAUUAAAGUCUAAAGUAGCGAAAUUUUACAGUUAUUCAGUGUGAUCCAGUUAUAUUGGGAAUAAUGUCUGUGUUUAACCCUCAGGCGGGAACGUUCUCUUUCGGAAUGGGAGCGGUUGAUCUUCUUGUUAUUCUUCUGGUUGUCAUUUUGCUGUUAUGUUAUUGAUAGGUAUCUUUCAGUUUUAUUGCAUGUUAUAGAAUUCCAAAUUGUCGACUUAGUCGGAGACUGAAGUACAAGAGUGCAACGCUGAAGGUUCACUACGUCUUCAUAAAAAGGUUUCUGCUAAGAUUGUUCCUAACGUCUACUCAGUGAUGUUUAUCAGUAGGGAAAGAUCGAGUAAUUUUGACCACAUGGUUAGUGGGUUGGUUGUAAUAGUUUGGUAAAACUCCCGUGAAUUAAAAUAUUAUUAAAGAGUAGGCCUAAAAGUUAUUAAACGAAGUAAAAUUGAAUUUAAAUAUUAUUGAAUAUUGGGCAGAGAUCCCGUUGUUGAAAAUUAUUGGCGAGCAUUGAGCCGUCUAAAAAAGGGAGUAUGUAGUUUAUUGAAGAUGUUGUUCUUCUGUUGUUGAAUCUUUCCUAUUAUGUUAUUCUGUUGCUAGGGUUUAAGGACGUCUCUUUGUGUUGUAUUGAGUUCUCAAAUUUCAUCUUUUCUAUAGAGAUUUAUUUAAAGCAAAUUUAACAGUUAAAUGACAAUUAAGUAAAUUGCAUGCAUAUAACAGUGUUCGAAGUGAAUUAAAUAAAACGGUAAAUUUACGGUAAAUAUGAAUUAAAAUUGUGUAUGUUAUUAAAGUUAUUUUUAAAUAGAGGAUUAUAAGCAAGUAAGUAAAAUUAAAGAUUAAGCAAAAUAUAAGUAAAGUCAAGCGGUAAAAUUUUAAGUAGAUCUAAGCAUUUGGAAUUGUAACAUAAGUUAAAAGUUAAAAUGAAUAAAAAUAUUAAAUAGCCAAAUAAGUAUAGCAGUAAACAUAUUUAGUCUGUCUGUCAUUGGCUUGAGCGCAACACAUCUGAUACAACUAUAAGCAUUUGGCAUUUGCUUGAAUGUGUCACUUGAAAGGUCGCGAUGUCAAUGGAUUACAAAUCUAUUAAUUCCCAUGAUACAUAUGGAUAUUUUACAAGAUCAAGACGGAACAUUUUACAGACAUUACAGCUUUAUGUUGUAUAAUUCGAAGCUAUUAUCAAGAUUUCAUUUUAUACUACAAGUCUAGUUCGAUACAUUACAAGAUGCUGAGUGUAACUGGAUGCUCGUUUAAAUUUGGAUUGCGCAAGUUAUGGUGAUAACUGGAUUUAUAAUUGCAUGGACACGUCAAACUGUUCUGAAUUGUGAAUAAUAACGUUACUAACGAGGACGCUCGAAAGUUCUUGCGAACUUUCUUUCUUCAAGGAGGAGGGUGUUACUUGAUAGCAAUUAUCAUGUAUAUUUUAUAACAUUUUAUAUUAUACAUUAAUACAUUUUACUAUAUUUAUAUAUUAUAUAUCAUAGUUUAGUUAUAUUAUACUUACUCUAAAGAAUUUACCUAUGAGAAAUUGUUUUACGCAUAGGAAGUUCUUUUAGCUUAGUCAUGCAUGAUCAAGCAAAUAUUUAGUUACCACAAGUGCGUACGCGUGAUGGACGGGAACGGUUACCGCAAGAAGAUCGUAAGAAUCUUCCCAAGUAAUGACACUGCAAGUUUAAAAGUUCCUCUCUGAACAGUAGACGGUUUUAGAUAACAAGACGUGGACGUCAAGAGGACGUGGAUGUCGUAAUUUGGCGUCAACUAUCGUCAGCUUCUGGUUUGCGACGUCGUCUUGGACAAUUUCACGACGCGAAAAUACAAUUUUCACGUCCUCUCUAGAACGUCAUAGAUUUUUGCUUCUUUUGAAAAAAAUAUGAGACUAUAUAUAAUAAAAAUCAUCCUAUUUUGUUCCCCAUGUAUUGUUUAAUGAUACUAGCUAAAGAUUUUCCAUUGACAAGGUUGGUUUUUUUUGUAUUUUGCUAAAUUUUAGACGAGUUGAUUUUCGACAAACUCACCAUAAACAAAUCAACAAAACUGCGAACAUUGUUAAUAACCACCUCAAUACCGCUAGUAAUCUUCACCAAAACAAAUAUUUUAGAACAAACUAAACUGAAGUUAUAUUGACAACAGUUUAAAAUCAGUAAAACGUGGGAAAAUAGAAAAAUAAAAGCACUUAAAAGCAGUAAAAACUCGAUCAAUUUUAGUUGCUCUGUCACAACAGUGCAAAAAGUAGGACAUGCAAAAAGAACGCUUUCCAGCGUGAAAAACUAUCGUAAACAGUAUUAAAUUUUACCACUAUAAACACUGAUGCUAUGUUUAUACUGAACAGUAGACAAACUUGAUUGAAUAGCUAGGCUACAAUAAAGCAUUUUAAUAGCUCGUAAACAAUACCUGUAUUUAUUCCAAAUGAUGCAACAAAGUUCACUUUUCAAACUACAGAAAUAUACGUUUUUUCCAAAAAAAACUUAUUGAAUGUUCAUACUAAUUCGUCAGGAAACACUUGGCCAGUAUUAUAUAACCUUUUAUUGCACAUAUCUUGACAACUGAUUGAAAACAAUACAGGAAUGAACAGGUAACAAGAAAACAAAAAUUUGCUUUGAAAAAGACAAACAAGCCGUCCCAGAUUAAAACCCGGAAGUGAACGCGAGCUGCAUACGUCAUUUUCACGUCCUCUUGACGUCCGCGUCUUGUUAUCUAAAACCGUCUAGUAUAUAAGGGAGAGCACAACUCUAAUACAUUCAUUCAUAGGCCUCCGUGCCUCACAUGAUUCAUUCAUAGGCCUCCGUGCCUUACAUGAUUCAUAGAUAGGCCUUCGCGCCUUACAUGAUUCAUUCAAUAGGCCUCAGCGCCUCAGUUACAUUAUUCAUAGGCCUCAGCGCCUUACGUGAAUAUCAUUUUGGAAAAGCUAUUAUAAAGAAGAUUGUUAAAGAAAGAUUGUUACAAGUUAUAUACGAAAGAGUAUUGAAGUUAAAAAGCGACGUUACGUGAAGAAGACGAAAGAGUUGUGCUCAGUCAGACAGAAAAGAGAUAAGUUGAACUGAUAUAGUUUUAAUUAUAUAGUAAUUGGAUAUAGUAUUAUAAAGACGUUUUAAAGAAAUAAAUAGUUAUAUAAACGUAACUGACUCACACUGAUUCUUUGUUGCGAGAGAAAUCGAACCAAAACGCGGGAAAUAUUAAUAUUAAGGACCACGCUCGUAACAUCA